UGGGGAAUAUUGGACAAUGGGCGAAAGCCUGAUCCAGCCAUGCCGCGUGUGUGAAGAAGGUCUUCGGAUUGUAAAGCACUUUAAGUUGGGAGGAAGGGCAGUAAGCGAAUACCUUGCUGUUUUGACGUUACCGACAGAAUAAGCACCGGCUAACUCUGUGCCAGCAGCCGCGGUAAUACAGAGGGUGCAAGCGUUAAUCGGAAUUACUGGGCGUAAAGCGCGCGUAGGUGGUUCGUUAAGUUGAAUGUGAAAGCCCCGGGCUCAACCUGGGAACUGCAUCGAAAACUGGCGAGCUAGAGUAGGGCAGAGGGUGUGGAAUUUCCUGUGUAGCGGUGAAAUGCGUAGAUAUAGGAAGGAACACCAGUGGCGAAGGCGACCACCUGGGCUCAUACUGACACUGAGGUGCGAAAGCGUGGGGAGCAAACAGG
Molecule: ribosomal RNA, 428 nt
Filed under: Pseudomonadota bacterium
Lineage: Bacteria; Pseudomonadati; Pseudomonadota
Description: Proteobacteria bacterium partial 16S ribosomal RNA
Rfam family: Bacterial small subunit ribosomal RNA
Source: RNAcentral